UGGGGUGUAGCUCAAUGGUAGAGUGUUUGUUUAAUAUACUUGAGGUCCUGGGUUUGAUCCCCAGCACUGCAG
RNAcentral lists this transfer RNA (72 nucleotides) under Ictidomys tridecemlineatus (thirteen-lined ground squirrel). RNAcentral describes it as "Spermophilus tridecemlineatus (thirteen-lined ground squirrel) tRNA". It matches the Rfam family "tRNA". Rfam says of the family: Transfer RNA (tRNA) molecules are approximately 80 nucleotides in length. Their secondary structure includes four short double-helical elements and three loops (D, anti-codon, and T loops). Lineage: Eukaryota; Metazoa; Chordata; Mammalia; Rodentia; Sciuridae. The record is from Rfam by way of RNAcentral.